Molecule: long non-coding RNA, 719 nt
Organism: Macrobrachium nipponense
Lineage: Eukaryota; Metazoa; Arthropoda; Malacostraca; Decapoda; Palaemonidae
Exons: 3
Source: RefSeq, a predicted model, not a curated record
AUCAAGUUAAGAAAACACGAACUGAUAACCAUUGCCAGCCAUUCCAUGUGGCUAUAAAAGCUGUGUCCCUCCUGUCUUUUAAAGCAGUUCUUCCAAAACAGCCUGGAAGACGGAAACCACCUCCUAUACCUCCAGAUAAUUCACCGUGGAACCUCUUCACAGUCAUACGAAGUAACGACAAGAAAGAGAGAGAGAGAGGCGGACUCAGUGGUACCCGCUACGGAAUAGGUUCCACAUUCCUUUGUCCCGAAUUUCAUCGCGCAAGGGCACCAAAUCACCGCAGUGCUCUUUUCCCGUCAGAGAAAGCCCCUCAUCUCCUCCGAAGUGGAAACUGUGCCCUCGAGUGAGCUUUUCCUUCCUUGCAUACGAAAACAAAACGUGUGUUCAGUUGUUCGAAAUUCAAUCCAAUCUCAGUUCAUCCAGCAAUGUUGUUACUUCAGCUUUUGUUCUUUUAUCUGGUGGUGCGAUUUGUCAUUACUCUCUGGCUCGUGGUUCUCCACUUCAUCAAGGAGGAAAAGGAGGCGGCCCAUCCUCAUUCUGUCAUAGUUUCGUCAGAGAUGCCCCAGCAUACUCCCAUAAGUCAAAAUUGGCUUAAUGCGUCAAAGCCGAAACGUCCCAAUGGAAUACAAAUGUGGGCUGCAGCGCUUGCUUGGCAGCUCCUGAUAACACCAUUCAUAAACGUGAGAGGACUCUGGGUAAGGAAAACACCUCCCACGGAU